Molecule: ribosomal RNA, 719 nt
Filed under: Hickmania troglodytes
Lineage: Eukaryota; Metazoa; Arthropoda; Arachnida; Araneae; Austrochilidae
Description: SSU rRNA
Rfam family: Eukaryotic small subunit ribosomal RNA
Source: RNAcentral
CUACCACAUCCAAGGAAGGCAGCAGGCGCGCAAAUUACCCACUCCCGGCACGGGGAGGUAGUGACGAAAAAUAACAAUACGGGACUCUUUUGAGACCCCGUAAUUGGAAUGAGUACACUCUAAAUCCUUUAACGAGGAUCUAUUGGAGGGCAAGUCUGGUGCCAGCAGCCGCGGUAAUUCCAGCUCCAAUAGCGUAUAUUAAAGUUGUUGCGGUUAAAAAGCUCGUAGUUGGAUCUCAGUUCCAGACGGGUGGUCCGCCUACCGGUGGUUACUGCCUGGCCUGAACAGCCAGCCGGUUACUCUAGAUGAUCUUCACCGGUUGUCUAAAAUGACCGGCACGUUUACUUUGAAAAAAUUAGAGUGCUCAAAGCAGGCGUGACGCCUGAAUAAUGGUGCAUGGAAUAAUGGAAUAGGACCUCGGUUCUAUUUUGUUGGUUUUCGGAACACGAGGUAAUGAUUAAGAGGGACAGACGGGGGCAUUCGUAUUGCGACGCUAGAGGUGAAAUUCUUGGACCGUCGCAAGACGAACUACUGCGAAAGCAUUUGCCAAGAAUGUUUCCGUUAAUCAAGAACGAAAGUUAGAGGUUCGAAGGCGAUCAGAUACCGCCCUAGUUCUAACCAUAAACGAUGCCAACCAGCGAUCCGCCUGAGUUCCUCAAAUGACUCGGCGGGCAGCUUCCGGGAAACCAAAGUGUUUGGGUUCCGGGGGAAGUAUGGUU